GAUGAACGCUGGCGGCGUGCCUAAUACAUGCAAGUCGAACGCGAGCAGCAAUGCUCGAGUGGCGAACGGGUGAGUAAUACAUAAGUAACCUGCCCUAGACAGGGGGAUAACAGUUGGAAACGACUGCUAAUACCGCAUAAGCCCACAGCACCGCAUGGUGCAGCGGGAAAAGGAGCAAUUCGCUUCAGGAUGGCCUCGCGUCCAAUUAGGUAGAUGGUGAGGUAACGGCCCACCAUGCCGACGAUUGGUAGCCGGACUGAGAGGUUGAACGGCCACAUUGGGACUGAGACACGGCCCAG
This 299-nucleotide ribosomal RNA is filed under the name uncultured bacterium. RNAcentral's name for it is "partial 16S ribosomal RNA". It matches the Rfam family "Bacterial small subunit ribosomal RNA", at positions 28 to 334 of the family's 1533-position model. The record is from RNAcentral.